CUAUGCGCCUUGCCAGCCCGCUCAGGUGUGCCAGCCGCCGCGGUAAUACGGAGGAUGCGAGCGUUAUCCGGAUUUAUUGGGUUUAAAGGGUGCGUAGGCGGGAUGCCAAGUCAGCGGUAAAAAUGCGGUGCUCAACGCCGUCGAGCCGUUGAAACUGGCGUUCUUGAGUGGGCGAGAAGUAUGCGGAAUGCGUGGUGUAGCGGUGAAAUGCAUAGAUAUCACGCAGAACUCCGAUUGCGAAGGCAGCAUACCGGCGCCCUACUGACGCUGAGGCACGAAAGCGUGGGUAUCGAACAGG
This 298-nucleotide ribosomal RNA is filed under the name uncultured bacterium. Its description in RNAcentral is "partial 16S ribosomal RNA". It matches the Rfam family "Bacterial small subunit ribosomal RNA", at positions 475 to 776 of the family's 1533-position model. The record is from RNAcentral.